Molecule: long non-coding RNA, 2026 nt
Filed under: Xyrichtys novacula (pearly razorfish)
Lineage: Eukaryota; Metazoa; Chordata; Actinopteri; Labriformes; Labridae
Source: RNAcentral
AGAUGAGGUAAAAAGUUCAGAAUGAUCAGAAAUAAGGUAAGCUUGUAAGACAAAAAGUCACAUUUUUAGAAAAAGUCAGUGAUGUUAUAAAAGUAAAAAUGAGGAAGUUUGACUUUGAGUUAAAGUUUAAUGUUUUUCAUUAUUUAAAUAUUUUUUAAAUCCAAUUAUUAAAACUUUCUGUUAUAAAUAUGACUUCUUAUUUUGUAUUAAACUUUUUUUUAUCCUAUGAUCAUCACUUUUUACUUCAUGUUUGACUUUAACCAUCUUACAAUUAUGACUGACUUUCUUUUUUUAGGGAUAAGUUUUUAUUACAGCCAAGUGUUCCUUCUGUUGUAAAUGAUGGACGUGUUUCUAGUCUACAGCAGUACAGUGGCUUAAAGCAGGUUUUUGUAAAACCAACCCUUCAAUCAUGUAAAACACACAAACGCUUGCAUUUAUUUGCUGAAGUUUAUUGUAAAUUAUCAGAUUUUAGGCUCGUAUGUGUAAUAAUAUCCAAUAUCAGCAUUACUCAUACUGGAGUUGAUGUGGACAUGUAGAAAACACUGAUAGCUUCAUAGUCAAUAGGUUUUAGUUUUAAAAGGUGUGUAUUGAAAUCGCCUGGUUUCAGAUCUUUUUGUCGCACAGCACUCCUUACUUUAAUAUGCUGAAUAGUUGACAUUUACUCUGCAGUAUCCUCACAGCUUUUAAUGCUUUCAAACCAAAAUAACCUGUAUUCUCUGUAUUUAUUAACUUGUGCUUUCUGUGACUUUUUUCUGCUCUCUGUUUGAUAUUCAGGCUGUUUUGUCUUCCACCUCCUUCCAUCACAUCUGAACGUUUCUUCAACUACUGCCUUCAAACUCUCUCUCUUCAUCCACGCUCCAUUUUUGACCCAGAACAUAAUAAUGCCUUUAACCACCCAGUAUGUCUCCCUUUACGAAUGAAAUAAUGGAACUUUAAGCAAUGUCACAUGUUUGUAUGAAGCCUCUUCACAUGGAAAUGUUUGAAAAAGUGGAAAUGAAAAGAAAGAUGCUCUCUUCUUCUUCUUCUCUGGUCUUGUCUUUUCUUUCUGCACCCUCUGUUUCUUUUUUUUUUUAAGUGUUUAAAUGUGAAAAUUCAAAUCAAAGAAGAUUCACAAAAACACUGACUUUAAUUUUGGUUGAAUGAGGAGAAAGCUGAGGAAACAAAGACUAAUUUGUGUCAAGUUGUUUUUGCAAAGUUCUUAAAAGUGUGUGUCGAGAAGUUGGGUGAUGAUAAACGUUUCGUCUUGUCUGAUGGCUCCAUUUAAGGCUGCUAUUUUCCCUCAUUUCAGUCUGACUAAGAGGGAUUUUGGUGACUGAAUAAGUCCUCUGAGAACCUCUUUAACCACAGAUUUGAUCCCUAAACACUGAGUAACUCUGACUGAGACUGAAUGACUCUGUGGCAGAAACAUUACAGUUCUCCUGCUGCAGUUCCUCUCCCUACCAUGCGGGGGCAUCAGGUUAUUUGUGUGGUGCCUGUAUGGUAGAUUUAACGAGCGUUUGGUGAUGAUUAAAAAGUGUUGGUGGUUUUUCUUCGGUUAACCGCCCCCUGAGUAAACCCUGACACAGCGUUUUCCAGCAGAGCUGUGACUCAGUUCUCGUUUGCUUUCCCUCAUCUGCAUCUCUUUAAAUCUAAUGAGGAUUUAAUCCUGUGUUUAACCUGGAUUAUGGUCAUUUCAUGAGUUCUAAUUUCCUCUCUGUGUCUGUGAAACCUGAAGGACACGGUGGUGUUAAAGUUUCAUGGAGGGUGAUUGUUUAUAGAGAGGAAACUGAGUCAGGUGAUGGUCUCAGUGAUGACAGUCGGGAUUAAAGAAACCUGGAGAUCUGUUGGUGGGAUAAUGAGAGUCGUAUGAGGAGCUUUCAGGCUGAAUUAAGUGGAGGAAGAGCAGGGUGAGAUUUCCCAGAAGACCUGAGUGACGAGAAACACUCACAAUCAGGAGGAAGAAAGUCCCAGCAUCGACAACAAAUCAUCUUUUUACUGUUUUAAUGCAAUUUGUCUUGAAUUAAAUACAAUACUCAGUCAUAUUGAU